CUACGGUGCUGAAGUAACAAAUGCCCUGCUUCCAGGAAAAGCCUCUAAGCAUCAGGUAACAUUAAAUCGUACCCCAAACCGACACAGGUGGUCAGGUAGAGAAUACCAAGGCGCUUGAGAGAACUCGGGUGAAGGAACUAGGCAAAAUGGUGCCGUAACUUCGGGAGAAGGCACGCUGGUGUGUAGGUGAAGUCCCUGCGGAUGGAGCUGAGACCAGUCGAAGAUACCAGCUGGCUGCAACUGUUUAUUAAAAACACAGCACUGUGCAAACACGAAAGUGGACGUAUACGGUGUGACGCCUGCCCGGUGCCGGAAGGUUAAUUGAUGGGGUUAUCCGUAAGGAGAAGCUCUUGAUCGAAGCCCCGGUAAACGGCGGCCGUAACUAUAACGGUCCUAAGGUAGCGAAAUUCCUUGUCGGGUAAGUUCCGACCUGCACGAAUGGCGUAAUGAUGGCCAGGCUGUCUCCACCCGAGACUCAGUGAAAUUGAACUCGCUGUGAAGAUGCAGUGUACCCGCGGCAAGACGGAAAGACCCCGUGAACCUUUACUAUAGCUUGACACUGAACAUUGAGCCUUGAUGUGUAGGAUAGGUGGGAGGCUUUGAAGCGUGGACGCCAGUCUGCGUGGAGCCGACCUUGAAAUACCACCCUUUAAUGUUUGAUGUUCUAACGUUGGCCCCUUACCGGGGUUGCGGACAGUGUCUGGUGGGUAGUUUGACUGGGGCGGUCUCCUCCCAAAGCGUAACGGAGGAGCACGAAGGUUAGCUAAUCCUGGUCGGACAUCAGGAGGUUAGUGCAAUGGCAUAAGCUAGCUUGACUGCGAGCGUGACGGCGCGAGCAGGUGCGAAAGCAGGUCAUAGUGAUCCGGUGGUUCUGAAUGGAAGGGCCAUCGCUCAACGGAUAAAAGGUACUCCGGGGAUAACAGGCUGAUACCGCCCAAGAGUUCAUAUCGACGGCGGUGUUUGGCACCUCGAUGUCGGCUCAUCACAUCCUGGGGCUGAAGUAGGUCCCAAGGGUAUGGCUGUUCGCCAUUUAAAGUGGUACGCGAGCUGGGUUUAGAACGUCGUGAGACAGUUCGGUCCCUAUCUGCCGUGGGCGCUGGAGAAUUGAGGGGGGCUGCUCCUAGUACGAGAGGACCGGAGUGGACGCAUCACUGGUGUUCGGGUUGUCAUGCCAAUGGCACUGCCCGGUAGCUAAAUGCGGAAGAGAUAAGUGCUGAAAGCAUCUAAGCACGAAACUUGCCCCGAGAUGAGUUCUCCCUGAGACUUUAAGUCUCCUGAAGGAACGUUGAAGACGACGACGUUGAUAGGCCGGGUGUGUAAGCGCAGCGAUGCGUUGAGCUAACCGGUACUAAUGAACCGUGAGGCUUAACCUU
This 1373-nucleotide ribosomal RNA is filed under the name Klebsiella pneumoniae. RNAcentral's name for it is "bacterial LSU rRNA". It matches the Rfam family "Bacterial large subunit ribosomal RNA", at positions 1577 to 2925 of the family's 2925-position model. Lineage: Bacteria; Pseudomonadati; Pseudomonadota; Gammaproteobacteria; Enterobacterales; Enterobacteriaceae. The record is from RNAcentral.